GAUGAACGCUAGCGGCAGGCUUAAUACAUGCAAGUCGUGGGGCAGCAUGAGUAGCAAUACUUGAUGGCGACCGGCAAACGGGUGAGGAACACGUACACAACCUUCCUUCAAGCGGGGAAUAGCCCAGAGAAAUUUGGAUUAAUACCCCAUAAUAUAUUUGAUAAGGCAUCUUAUUAAUAUUAAAGCUUCGGCACUUGAUGAUGGGUGUGCGGCUGAUUAGAUAGUUGGCGGGGUAACGGCCCACCAAGUCUACGAUCAGUAGCUGAUGUGAGAGCAUGAUCAGCCACACGGGCACUGAGACACGGGCCCGACUCCUACGGGAGGCAGCAGUAAGGAAUAUUGGACAAUGGACGAAAGUCUGAUCCAGCCAUGCCGCGUGAAGGAUUAAGGUCUUCUGGAUUGUAAACUUCUUUUAUAUGGGA
This 422-nucleotide ribosomal RNA is filed under the name uncultured bacterium. RNAcentral describes it as "bacterial SSU rRNA". It matches the Rfam family "Bacterial small subunit ribosomal RNA", at positions 28 to 445 of the family's 1533-position model. The record is from RNAcentral.